This 283-nucleotide ribosomal RNA is filed under the name uncultured bacterium. RNAcentral describes it as "partial 16S ribosomal RNA". It matches the Rfam family "Bacterial small subunit ribosomal RNA", at positions 773 to 1060 of the family's 1533-position model. The record is from RNAcentral.
GUGGAUUAGAUACCCUGGUAGUCCACGCCGUAAACGAUGGAUACUCGCUGCCGGCGAUAGAAUGUCGGUGGCUUAGCGAAAGCGUUAAGUAUCCCACCUGGGGAGUACGCCCGCAAGGGUGAAACUCAAAGGAAUUGACGGGGGCCCGCACAAGUGGUGGAGCAUGUGGUUUAAUUCGAUGAUACGCGAGGAACCUUACCUAGGCUAGAAUGCGCGUGACCGCGCCAGAGAUGGCGCUUUCCUUCGGGACACAAAGCAAGGUGCUGCAUGGCCGUCGACAACU